RNAcentral lists this long non-coding RNA (210 nucleotides) under Cicer arietinum (chickpea). RNAcentral describes it as "long non-coding RNA (CARI_LNC000479)". The record is from RNAcentral. Lineage: Eukaryota; Viridiplantae; Streptophyta; Magnoliopsida; Fabales; Fabaceae.
UCCAAUUCCACCACUGCUUCCUAUUUUCUAUCUUGGUACCAGAGCACUCAAUGAUCUCACACGUUUCCUCAUCCACCUUAAACCACAAAAAUGUCUUCACCUUUUUCUCUUGCUCUGUCAAGCUGGACAAAAACAACUAUGUGUUGUGGUAGUCACUAGUCCUUCACAUGAUCAAAUGACACAAAAUGUAUGGCUACAUCUCAGGCACAA